AGCAGUAGCCGCGGUAAUACGUAGGUGGCAAGCGUUGUCCGGAAUGAUUGGGCGUAAAGGGCGCGCAGGCGGCUGUGUAAGUCUGUCUAGGAAGUGCGGGGCUAAACCCCGUGAGAGGAUGAAAACUGGACAGCUGAGAGUGUCGGAGAGGAAAGCGGAAUUCCUAGUGUAGCGGUGAAAUGCGUAGAUAUUAGGAGGAACACCGGUGGCGAAAGCGGCUUUUUGGCCUGUAACUGACACUGAGGCGCGAAAGCGUGGGGAGCAAACAGGAUUAGAUACCCCUGUAGUCCCUGUCUCUUAUAC
This 303-nucleotide ribosomal RNA is filed under the name uncultured bacterium. Its description in RNAcentral is "partial 16S ribosomal RNA". It matches the Rfam family "Bacterial small subunit ribosomal RNA", at positions 507 to 807 of the family's 1533-position model. The record is from RNAcentral.